CUCGCGUCGUCCCAGACUCUCCACAGCUCCCGCUGCCGAGACUCCGAGCAGACGUCGCAGCGGGCCAAGCGUCGCCACUCUGGGGACGCGAACAAGCUGGCGGCCCGCGCCCCUCUCCUGCUACCUGGUCGCGGGAAAACGAACUAGCACCGCUCCCCGGGCCGAGGCCAUUCCCCCGCCCCCACCGCCGGAAGAGCUGCCCUUCCCCGAUGGGAGGGGGGCGGGAAACUUUGCGAGACGACUGUUCCGCGCCUUUCUCGCGUGGCGUCGGAGAGGAACUUGGGUGGGUUUCCCGUCCGAGGCCUGACCACACCCUCCCACUUUUCUAGGCCUCGGACCUCAACCUCGUGGACUACGGAGCGGAGGGGGACACUUCGGGCCACUCGGAGGGUGGCACCGAAGUCAGGCGUCCCCAAGGGCUCUGGCGGAUGGCCAAGUUUGUGUUCUUUCCAUCCCACGCCGGAGUAGCGCUCGCUACUUUGGGGAAACUUCAGACUCCUCAACCCCGGCCACGAGGCCACCCCUGUCUUUAAGACCACAUAAGGAACACCAUGAUCCGUGCAUCUGUGCAGCUUGUUCCAGAGUCCCAGCCCUCACCAGCUGUGAGGUCACAUCUCUUGGAAGGCAGUCAUCUACCUCAACCAGCAGCUCCGAGAUGCUGGGCAGCGGGACCAUAUCUGCCAUUGGGAGAGCUGCCGCUGGUGCUCUGGGCUGUCCUACUCCUUCCGGUAGCCAAAGAGAGGAUGCGAGUUUUAAAAAUGCAUAUAUUCAGAGAAAAUGACUACCAAGAGAACGACAGAUUAUAUUUUCCAAAAGUGAUGGCAACAAUAUCUCCCAUCCCAGCUGCUCAUCUUACAGUGUGACUUUGACAUUCCUCCCAUUGAGAGGUAGGGUCUGUGUUUUCUGCCUUUGAAUAUGGGUGGGCUUGUGACUACAGUGGAAGUGACACUGUGUGACUUCUAGGCUAGGUCAUAAAAGACGAUACAGCUUCUGCCUUGUUUGCUGGAACAUUGCCUUUGGAGUCCUGAGCUGCCAUGGCAGAAGUCCGAGGCUGCCAUGCUGUCAGGAAGCCCAAGCUACAUGGAGAAGCCACAUGAAAGCGUUCUGGCCAAGAGCCCCAGCUGAGGUCCCAUCUAACAGCCAGCAUCAGCCACCACAUGUGAGUGAAGAUGACUCCACAUGACUCUGGCCCCCAGCCAUUGAGUCCUUCCUGUUGAGGCCCCAGAUAUUGGGGAACAGGAACAAGUCCUCCCCAUGGUGCCCUGUCAAAAUUCCUGAUCCACAGAAUCUGUGAGCAUGAUAAAUGGUUCUUUUAUGCCACUAUGCUUUGACAUAAUUUGUUCCAUAGCGAUUGUAAGUGGAAUAAAGAGCCCAGGGUUACACUCUUACAGCUACCACUCUUUAGAAGAUUCUGGGAAAGGUCUCCAGUUGGCCAGGCUUGGGUCACAUGCCUACCUCUUGAGCCAACUGCUCUGUCCGGGAGGAAGUAGAGUAGCUCUAGCCUACUUUAUGUGUUCAUUCCUGGGGGAGUAGGCAGGGAUGUUAUUACGGCCACAUACCAGACGCCUAGGGCUAGAGUGAUUCAUCAAAGGUGGUAGGGGUGGUCUCAGAAGAAGGGGUAUGAGAAUGUGUUCUGGGCAGACUGAAAUAAUAGCUAUAUUCUGUCACCUUUACUUUAUUUGGUAACCUUUUUUGGGGGGAGAAGGGGAGGUUUAAGAUAGUUUCCUUUAAAAGAAGAUCGGAGACCACAAGCUGUGUGACUUUGAGCAAGUUACUUUGCCACGCUGAGCCUAAUAAGAAUUUUUUUUUUUUGUACUUCUCUGGCAAGUUGUUAAGAGUGUGUUAGAAACGCUUUUCACUUUAGUCAAAAUUUACGUCAGGUCACUCAUCACUUGGAAGCAGGGACUUCAGUGUUCUGCUGAAGGGUCCACAUUGCUGUCUGCAUUAAUUUCCACAUGGCUUCUGUCUUUCCCUUUUCCACCCCAAAAUAUACACACACACACACACACACACACACACACCAGUCGCACGUGAUGUGCACACACACAUAUUAAAUAUGUAUUUUUCAUAUAUUCCAAAAAUAACCAAACCUUUCUUCUUUCCUGAAAGCCAGUAAUAUUUUUGCAGCCUAGAAAUAUCCUUAGGGUCAAUAUCCUCUAUCAGGGAUCGGCAAACUUUUUUUGUGACAGGCCAGAGAAGAAAAGUUUCAGGCUUUGCAGGCCAGACAGUUUCUGUUGUGACUACUCAACUCUGCCCUUGCAGCCAAAGCAACC
Molecule: long non-coding RNA, 2273 nt
Filed under: Monodon monoceros (narwhal)
Lineage: Eukaryota; Metazoa; Chordata; Mammalia; Artiodactyla; Monodontidae
Description: lncRNA (ENSMMNG00015009746.1)
Source: RNAcentral